GACGAACGCUGGCGGCGUGCUUAACACAUGCAAGUCGAACGCUGAAGCCCAGCUUGCUGGGUGGAUGAGUGGCGAACGGGUGAGUAACACGUGAGUAACCUGCCCCCUUCUUUGGGAUAACGCCCGGAAACGGGUGCUAAUACUGGAUAUUCACUGGCCUUCGCAUGGGGGUUGGUGGAAAGGUUUUUCUGGUGGGGGAUGGGCUCGCGGCCUAUCAGCUUGUUGGUGGGGUGAUGGCCUACCAAGGCUUUGACGGGUAGCCGGCCUGAGAGGGUGACCGGUCACAUUGGGACUGAGAUACGGCCCAGACUCCUACGGGAGGCAGCAGUGGGGAAUAUUGCACAAUGGGCGAAAGCCUGAUGCAGCGACGCCGCGUGAGGGAUGACGGCCUUCGGGUUGUAAACCUCUUUCGCUCAUGGUCAAGCCGCAGCUUUGGGUUGUGGUGAGGGUAGUGGGUAAAGAAGCGCCGGCUAACUACGUGCCAGCAGCCGCGGUAAUACGUAGGGCGCGAGCGUUGUCCGGAAUUAUUGGGCGUAAAGGGCUUGUAGGCGGUUGGUCGCGUCUGCCGUGAAAUCCUCUGGCUUAACUGGGGGCGUGCGGUGGGUACGGGCUGACUUGAGUGCGGUAGGGGAGACUGGAACUCCUGGUGUAGCGGUGGAAUGCGCAGAUAUCACGAAAAACACCGGGUGGCUAAAGGCGGGUUCUCUGAGCCGUUACUGACGCUAAGAACGAAACCGCGAGAAUCGAACAGGCAUCAGAUACCCAAGUAUUCAAGGUGAAUUCCUCGGUGGAUAUCAGCCUUUUCCUUCUAUCCACCCCCCCCCGCGGCCCCGCGGGCGAAUUUUUGUUUCUAUUUUAAAAUGGUUACAUUCCCCGUCUACCGCCCAUCCCCCCCGGGAGAGAAAGAUGACGCCCCGGGGGGACCACAGGUGACAACAUCCAUUAUUUUUUGUCGGCCCUACUGCGUUUAUUCGGGGACCAUGAUGCGUAUGAAUAUGAUAGUCCUAUCUACCCUGCCGAUCUGAUUUUUUCGCUAGGGGAGUUCCUCUCUUCUUACUCCCCUAGCUGCCACUUGUC
Molecule: ribosomal RNA, 1077 nt
Filed under: uncultured Haemophilus sp.
Lineage: Bacteria; Pseudomonadati; Pseudomonadota; Gammaproteobacteria; Pasteurellales; Pasteurellaceae
Description: bacterial SSU rRNA
Rfam family: Bacterial small subunit ribosomal RNA (bases 1-821)
Source: RNAcentral